This 253-nucleotide ribosomal RNA is filed under the name uncultured bacterium. RNAcentral describes it as "partial 16S ribosomal RNA". It matches the Rfam family "Bacterial small subunit ribosomal RNA", at positions 524 to 776 of the family's 1533-position model. The record is from RNAcentral.
UACGAAGGGUGCAAGCGUUACUCGGAAUCACUGGGCGUAAAGCGUGCGUAGGCGGUUCGUUAAGUCUGUUGUGAAAGCCCUGGGCUCAACCUGGGAACUGCAGUGGAUACUGGCGAGCUAGAGUACGGUAGAGGAAGGUGGAAUUCCCGGUGUAGCGGUGAAAUGCGUAGAGAUCGGGAGGAACACCAGUGGCGAAGGCGGCCUUCUGGACCAGUACUGACGCUGAGACGCGAAAGCGUGGGGAGCAAACAGG